UUAGGAGCCUCUAGAGGAUCCUCAGCAGAAAAUAUUGCUCAAAACUCAGGACAUUCAGAAGAAGUCACCAGGUAUGACAAACUGAUAAAAGAUUUCUAUUAAGUACCCCCUUUGUGCAAGACAAUAAGUAUGAUCUUAUUUUCCAGUCACAAGAAGAUUAGUUGCAUCUGGCACUUGAUAAGCUAAUACUGAAAAACUACUUUUAAAAUCACCCAUUUACUUUUAAAUAUUAUGUAGUUUAAGUAUUUUUAAUCUUUAAACUACAUCUGAAAAUUAUAGAACACAAAAUAUCUUUCAAAGAAAGCAUUUUUUGCUUUCUAGCCCAAUAUAAAAGUUAAUUUAAUAAUUUAUUUUAUUUCAGAUCUCCAGAUAAUCAAAAAAAAGAAACUGAAAGAAGAGUUUGACUCAACAUCAAAGCAAGAAGAAAUUUAUCAUGUCUCUUUAGACUUCAUUCCUAUAGUAGGAACAUGUUGCAAAUAAUAUAGAGUUAAAUGAAACUGACUAUGACAAUGUUUUAUUGGAUUUUUGUAUUGCACUAUAGUACUACAAAUUUAGCCUAAAACAUCUGAAUCCAUGAAAAUAAAAUAUCUUCUAAACGCUUAGAAAUAUCAACCAUUAUCCAUAACAUAAACUGUAAAAAUUUUUCCUGUUGCCCACUACUCCACAAGAAUAGUGCUAUCAUAGAAUCAAAAUGUAGUUGUUUCUGAUGAGAAAAUAAUUGCAAGCUUAAAGAAAUCUUUCAUGCUGAAUAAAUGCAAGAUAAUAUUUACUAAAAUUCCAGGGAAACUUUCCAACAUAGUUAAACAGAUUAUAAGCAAUAAAGAUGAUUGUGUUGAAAAGUAGGGUUCAACUUGCUAUGUAAAAGUACAUUUUAUGCUUUUAGCUGGUAUUACAUAACCUGGUUAUCCAUGUUAAUUUUGAAAGUUUAAGCAAAUCCUUCAAUCUCAGUACCCUUCUUUAAUGUAUCUUGCAAAUGAAAAGACAUGAUUGAAAUUGAAAUUGAAAUUGUUGUAUGUAUAACUUCUGGAGACCUGCAGGUCCAUGAAUGUAGUACGUU
This 1057-nucleotide long non-coding RNA is filed under the name Marmota monax (woodchuck). Lineage: Eukaryota; Metazoa; Chordata; Mammalia; Rodentia; Sciuridae. The record is from RNAcentral.